UACGUAGGGCGCGAGCGUUGUCCGGAAUUAUUGGGCGUAAAGAGCUCGUAGGCGGUUUGUCGCGUCUGCUGUGAAAACGCGAGGCUCAACCUCGCGCCUGCAGUGGGUACGGGCAGACUAGAGUGCGGUAGGGGAGAUUGGAAUUCCUGGUGUAGCGGUGGAAUGCGCAGAUAUCAGGAGGAACACCGAUGGCGAAGGCAGAUCUCUGGGCCGUUACUGACGCUGAGGAGCGAAAGCGUGGGGAGCGAACAGG
Molecule: ribosomal RNA, 253 nt
Filed under: uncultured bacterium
Lineage: Bacteria
Description: partial 16S ribosomal RNA
Rfam family: Bacterial small subunit ribosomal RNA
Source: RNAcentral